GAUGAACGCUGGCGGCGUGCCUAAUACAUGCAAGUCGAGCGAACAGACGAGGAGCUUGCUCCUUUGACGUUAGCGGCGGACGGGUGAGUAACACGUGGGUAACCUACCUAUAAGACUGGGAUAACUUCGGGAAACCGGAGCUAAUACCGGAUAAUAUUUCGAACCGCAUGGUUCGAUAGUGAAAGAUGGCUUUGCUAUCACUUAUAGAUGGACCUGCGCCGUAUUAGCUAGUUGGUAAGGUAACGGCUUACCAAGGCAACGAUACGUAGCCGACCUGAGAGGGUGAUCGGCCACACUGGAACUGAGACACGGUCCAGACUCCUACGGGAGGCAGCAGUAGGGAAUCUUCCGCAAUGGGCGAAAGCCUGACGGAGCAACGCCGCGUGAGUGAUGAAGGUCUUCGGACCGUAAAACUCUGUUAUUAGGGAAGAAUAAACGUGUAAGUAACUGUGCACGUCUUGACGGUACCUAAUCAGAAAGCCACGGCUAACUACGUG
Molecule: ribosomal RNA, 497 nt
Filed under: uncultured bacterium
Lineage: Bacteria
Description: partial 16S ribosomal RNA
Rfam family: Bacterial small subunit ribosomal RNA
Source: RNAcentral